This 492-nucleotide ribosomal RNA is filed under the name uncultured bacterium. RNAcentral describes it as "partial 16S ribosomal RNA". It matches the Rfam family "Bacterial small subunit ribosomal RNA", at positions 29 to 507 of the family's 1533-position model. The record is from RNAcentral.
AGUGAACGCUGGCGGUAGGCCUAACACAUGCAAGUCGAACGGCAGCACAGUAAGAGCUUGCUCUUACGGGUGGCGAGUGGCGGACGGGUGAGGAAUACAUCGGAAUCUACUUUUUCGUGGGGGAUAACGUAGGGAAACUUACGCUAAUACCGCAUACGACCUACGGGUGAAAGCAGGGGAUCUUCGGACCUUGCGCGAUUGAAUGAGCCGAUGUCGGAUUAGCUAGUUGGCGGGGUAAAGGCCCACCAAGGCGACGAUCCGUAGCUGGUCUGAGGGGAUGAUCAGCCACACUGGAACUGAGACACGGUCCAGACUCCUACGGGAGGCAGCAGUGGGGAAUAUUGGACAAUGGGCGCAAGCCUGAUCCAGCCAUACCGCGUGGGUGAAGAAGGCCUUCGGGUUGUAAAGCCCCUUUGUUGGGAAAGAAAAGCAGCAGGUUAAUACCCCGCUGUUCUGACGGUACCCAAAGAAUAAGCACCGGCUAACUUCGUG